RNAcentral lists this unclassified non-coding RNA (191 nucleotides) under fungal sp. RNAcentral describes it as "partial internal transcribed spacer region". The stretch from base 1 to 46 matches the Rfam family "Eukaryotic small subunit ribosomal RNA", at positions 1786 to 1831 of the family's 1831-position model. The record is from RNAcentral. Lineage: Eukaryota; Fungi.
AAGUCGUAACAAGGUUUCCGUAGGUGAACCUGCGGAAGGAUCAUUACAAAUCUUUAGAGGCCCAUUUUUUUUUUUUUUUGGGUCUAUAUGUCCGAAGCAGCAAUGCUUCGUUACAUUUACGCUUGUAUGUUUGACAAAGUUAGUGUGAAUUUUAAUAUAUACAACUUUUAACAAUGGAUCUCUUGGCUCUU